Molecule: ribosomal RNA, 278 nt
Filed under: uncultured Staphylococcus sp.
Lineage: Bacteria; Bacillati; Bacillota; Bacilli; Caryophanales; Staphylococcaceae
Description: partial 16S ribosomal RNA
Rfam family: Bacterial small subunit ribosomal RNA
Source: RNAcentral
CCUUUGACGUUAGCGGCGGACGGGUGAGUAACACUGGGUAACCUACCUAUAAGACUGGGAUAACUUCGGGAAACCGGAGCUAAUACCGGAUAAUAUUUCGAACCGCAUGGUUCGAUAGUGAAAGGUGGUUUUGCUAUCACUUAUAGAUGGACCCGCGCCGUAUUAGCUAGUUGGUAAGGUAACGGCUUACCAAGGCGACGAUACGUAGCCGACCUGAGAGGGUGAUCGGCCACACUGGAACUGAGACACGGUCCAGACUCCUACGGGAGGCAGCAGCC